This 253-nucleotide ribosomal RNA is filed under the name uncultured bacterium. RNAcentral describes it as "partial 16S ribosomal RNA". It matches the Rfam family "Bacterial small subunit ribosomal RNA", at positions 524 to 776 of the family's 1533-position model. The record is from RNAcentral.
UACGUAGGGUGCAAGCGUUGUCCGGAAUUAUUGGGCGUAAAGAGCUCGUAGGCGGUCUGUCGCGUCUGCUGUGAAAACUCAGGGCUUAACCCUGAGCUUGCAGUGGGUACGGGCAGACUAGAGUGCGGUAGGGGAGACUGGAAUUCCUGGUGUAGCGGUGAAAUGCGUAGAUAUCGAGAGGAACACCUGCGGCGAAGGCGGGUUGCUGGGCUGAUACUGACGCUGAGGCGCGAAAGCCAGGGGAGCGAACGGG